GAUGAACGCUGGCGGCGUGCCUAAUACAUGCAAGUCGAGCGAACGGACGAGAAGCUUGCUUCUCUGAUGUUAGCGGCGGACGGGUGAGUAACACGUGGAUAACCUACCUAUAAGACUGGGAUAACUUCGGGAAACCGGAGCUAAUACCGGAUAAUAUUUUGAACCGCAUGGUUCAAAAGUGAAAGACGGUCUUGCUGUCACUUAUAGAUGGAUCCGCGCUGCAUUAGCUAGUUGGUAAGGUAACGGCUUACCAAGGCAACGAUGCAUAGCCGACCUGAGAGGGUGAUCGGCCACACUGGCACUGAGAAACGGUCCCGACUCCUACGGGAGGCCGCAGUCGGGAAUCCUACGCAAUGGGCGAAAGCCUGACGUAGCAACGCCGCGUGAGUGAUGAAGGUCUUCGGAUCGUAAAACUCUGUUAUCAGGGAAGAACAUAUGUGUAAGUAACUGUGCACAUCUUGACGGUACCUAAUCAGAAAGCCACGGCUAACUCCGUG
RNAcentral lists this ribosomal RNA (497 nucleotides) under uncultured bacterium. RNAcentral describes it as "partial 16S ribosomal RNA". It matches the Rfam family "Bacterial small subunit ribosomal RNA", at positions 28 to 507 of the family's 1533-position model. The record is from RNAcentral.